AAGGAGGGGGCAAGCGUUGAGAGGAAUGAAAGGGCGUAAAGGGUGUGUAGGCGGCUGAUUAAGUCAAGGAUGAAAUCCCGAGGCUCAACUUCGGAACGGUCCUUGAUACUGGUCAGCUUGAGGCUAGUAAAGGGGAGCGGAAUUCCCGGUGGAGCGGUGAAAUGCGUAGAUAUCGGGAGGAACACCAGAGGCGUAGGCGGUUCUCUAGGCUAGUCCUGACGCUGAGACACGAAAGCUAGGGGAGCAAACGG
This 251-nucleotide ribosomal RNA is filed under the name uncultured prokaryote. RNAcentral describes it as "partial 16S rRNA". It matches the Rfam family "Bacterial small subunit ribosomal RNA", at positions 525 to 775 of the family's 1533-position model. The record is from RNAcentral.